This 253-nucleotide ribosomal RNA is filed under the name uncultured bacterium. RNAcentral describes it as "partial 16S ribosomal RNA". It matches the Rfam family "Bacterial small subunit ribosomal RNA", at positions 524 to 776 of the family's 1533-position model. The record is from RNAcentral.
UACGUAGGGUGCGAGCGUUGUCCGGAAUUAUUGGGCGUAAAGGGCUCGUAGGCGGUCUGUUGCGUCGGGAGUGAAAACUCAGGGCUUAACCCUGAGCCUGCUUCCGAUACGGGCAGACUAGAGGUAUGCAGGGGAGAACGGAAUUCCUGGUGUAGCGGUGAAAUGCGCAGAUAUCAGGAGGAACACCGGUGGCGAAGGCGGAUCUCUGGGCCUUACCUGACGCUCAGGUGCGAAAGCUAGGGGAGCGAACAGG